UACGUAGGGGGCGAGCGUUGUCCGGAUUUAUUGGGCGUAAAGAGCUCGUAGGCGGUUUGGCAAGUCGGGUGUGAAAACUCCGGCUCAACUCGGAGACGCCACUCGAUACUGCUAUGACUCGAGUCCGGUAGGGGAGUGCGGAAUUCCUGGUGUAGUGGUGAAAUGCGCAGAUAUCAGGAGGAACACCGGUGGCGAAGGCGGCAUCCUGGACCAAUAUUGACGCUGAGGAGCGAAAGCUAGGGGAGCAAACGGG
This 253-nucleotide ribosomal RNA is filed under the name uncultured bacterium. Its description in RNAcentral is "partial 16S ribosomal RNA". It matches the Rfam family "Bacterial small subunit ribosomal RNA", at positions 524 to 776 of the family's 1533-position model. The record is from RNAcentral.